GUUCUUGCUUCUCCAGUGCUUUGAAGCCCUAUGACCACACAUUUACCUUCAGUCAAUGCUUCCUUUGCGAUUCUAACUACUGCAGGCACCUUAGCGGAUAUACACAAGUGUCUAAAGAAGCGCUGAUGAUUAGCCCAAUAAAGUCUCCAGAGCUGAUUAGAAGAGGGCUUAUCAUCAGUGAGAAAUGCACCAGCUGACAGCAAUUCCACUCUAAGCUCCGCCCAGAAUUCAGCAGCUUUUUUAUACAAGUCCUGCAUCUGGGCCUCUAAAGGUACUUCAACUACUUCAAACUCUGCACCUUUGUAGCUAAGUGUACGACACACAUACAUACCCCUUGUUUUCAUGUCCAUGGCAACAAGUUCAAGUGCCCCCACACCACCUUUCUCCAUAGCAACUAAGAAGUCACGGAAAUUAAGAAAAGAAGUUCCAGCUCCCCAAAGCCCAAGGCGAACCAUGUAGGCCAUAUUGCGAGGCUCAGAAGCACCAGUUGCUGAACAAUAAACAACACGAGCUUGAGGAAGACGAGCCUGGAUUUCAAGUACAGCUUCACCAGUUCGAGUUGGCUGUCCCCCAGCUUCAGGGACCAAAUUUUUUGCCUUGUGACACUCAUCAAAUAUGACAAGACCA
Molecule: unclassified non-coding RNA, 627 nt
Filed under: Hevea brasiliensis (rubber tree)
Lineage: Eukaryota; Viridiplantae; Streptophyta; Magnoliopsida; Malpighiales; Euphorbiaceae
Source: RNAcentral